This 468-nucleotide ribosomal RNA is filed under the name uncultured bacterium. RNAcentral's name for it is "partial 16S ribosomal RNA". It matches the Rfam family "Bacterial small subunit ribosomal RNA", at positions 28 to 506 of the family's 1533-position model. The record is from RNAcentral.
GACGAACGCUGGCGGCGUGCUUAACACAUGCAAGUCGAACGGAAAGGCCCUGCUUGCAGGGUGCUCGAGUGGCGAACGGGUGAGUAACACGUGGGUGAUCUGCCCCUUACUUUGGGAUAAGCCUGGGAAACUGGGUCUAAUACUGGAUAGGACCAUGCUGUAGGUGGUGUGGUGGAAAGAUUAGUUUCGGUAAGGGAUGAGCUCGCGGCCUAUCAGCUUGUUGGUGGGGUAAUGGCCUACCAAGGCGUCGACGGGUAGCCGGCCUGAGAGGGUGGACGGCCACAUUGGGACUGAGAUACGGCCCAGACUCCGACGGGAGGCAGCAGUGGGGAAUAUUGCACAAUGGGCGCAAGCCUGAUGCAGCGACGCCGCGUGGGGGAUGACGGCCUUCGGGUUGUAAACUCCUUUCAGCCAUGACGAAGCCCUUGUGGUGACGGUAGUGGUAGAAGAGGCACCGGCGAACUACGU